RNAcentral lists this ribosomal RNA (399 nucleotides) under uncultured bacterium. RNAcentral's name for it is "bacterial SSU rRNA". It matches the Rfam family "Bacterial small subunit ribosomal RNA", at positions 30 to 436 of the family's 1533-position model. The record is from RNAcentral.
UUGAACGCUGGCGGCAUGCUUUACACAUGCAAGUCGAACGGGGGUGGGGCAACCCACCUCAGUGGCGAACGGGUGAGUAACAUAUCGGAACGUAUCCUCGAGUGGGGGAUAACUCCGAGAAAUCGGAGCUAAUACCGCAUGAGAUCUAAGGAUGAAAGCGGGGGACCGAAAGGCCUCGCGCUGGAGGGGCGGCCGAUAUCUGAUUAGCUAGUUGGUGGGGUAACGGCCUACCAAGGCGACGAUCAGUAGCUGGUCUGAGAGGAUGAUCAGCCACACUGGGACUGAGACACGGCCCAGACUCCUACGGGAGGCAGCGGUGGGGAAUUUUGGACAAUGGGCGCAAGCCUGAUCCAGCCAUGCCGCGUGAGUGAAGAAGGUCUUAGGAUUGUAAAAUUCUUU